AUUGAACGCUGGCGGCAGGCUUAACACAUGCAAGUCGAGCGGGGUGAAGUGCUUCGGUACUGAUCCUAGCGGCGGACGGGUGAGUAAUGCUUAGGAAUCUGCCAUUUAGUGGGGGACAACAUUCCGAAAGGAAUGCUAAUACCGCAUACGUCCUACGGGAGAAAGCAGGGGAUCUUCGGACCUUGCGCUAAAUGAUGAGCCUAAGUCGGAUUAGCUAGUUGGUGGGGUAAAGGCCUACCAAGGCGACGAUCUGUAGCGGGUCUGAGAGGAUGAUCCGCCACACUGGGACUGAGACACGGCCCAGACUCCUACGGGAGGAAGCAGUGGGGAAGAUUGGACAAUGGGCGGAAGCCUGAUCCAGCCAUGCCGCGUGUGUGAAGAAGGCCUUUUGGUUGUAAAGCACUUUAAGCGAAGAGGAGGCUACCUGGAUUAAUACUCUGGGAUAGUGGACGUUACUCGCAGAAUAAGCACCGGCUAACUCUGUGCCAGCCGCCGCCGUAA
Molecule: ribosomal RNA, 501 nt
Filed under: uncultured bacterium
Lineage: Bacteria
Description: partial 16S ribosomal RNA
Rfam family: Bacterial small subunit ribosomal RNA
Source: RNAcentral